Small nuclear RNA from Hyaena hyaena (striped hyena), 104 nucleotides. Lineage: Eukaryota; Metazoa; Chordata; Mammalia; Carnivora; Hyaenidae. The record is from RefSeq and is a predicted model, not a curated record.
AUACUCACUUCAUUAGGACAUAUACUAAAACUGGAACAAUACAGAGAAGAUUGGGGCCCCUGUACAAGGAUGACACACAAAUUCGUGAAGUGUUCCAUAUCUUU